CCUACGGGAGGCUGCAGUGGGGAAUAUUGGGCAAUGGAGGAAACUCUGACCCAGCAAUGCCGCGUGAAUGAAGAAGGUCUUCGGAUUGUAAAGUUCUUUAGUCAGGGAAGAAGUCAAUGACGGUACCUGAAGAAUAAGCUCCGGCUAACUACGUGCCAGCAGCCGCGGUAAUACGUAGGGAGCAAGCGUUGUUCGGAAUGACUGGGCGUAAAGGGUGCGUAGGUGGUUUGACAAGUUAGUAGCGUAAUUCCGGGGCUCAACUUCGGAACUACUACUAAAACUGUUGGGCUUGAGUGCAGGAGAGGUGAAUGGAAUUCCUAGUGUAGCGGUGGAAUGCGUAGAUAUUAGGAGGAACACCAGCGGCGAAAGCGAUUCACUGGACUGUAACUGACACUGAGGCACGAAAGCGUGGGGAGCAAACAGGAUUAGAUACCCGGGUAGUC
This 443-nucleotide ribosomal RNA is filed under the name uncultured bacterium. RNAcentral's name for it is "partial 16S ribosomal RNA". It matches the Rfam family "Bacterial small subunit ribosomal RNA", at positions 338 to 795 of the family's 1533-position model. The record is from RNAcentral.